Molecule: non-coding RNA, 494 nt
Organism: Drosophila kikkawai
Lineage: Eukaryota; Metazoa; Arthropoda; Insecta; Diptera; Drosophilidae
Source: RefSeq, a predicted model, not a curated record
AGACUUCUAAUUUAUUUGGGGUUUUCAUUUUGGUCAAUCGAGCCUUCGGAGCAUUUUUGCUUCGAUAACUCUGCAGUUUCCCCCUCUAUGGUAAGGGACUCAGAGUAAGGCGAGCUCCUUCAAGCGAAGCAAGGAACACUUGUAGCUAAAAGGUAGCAAAAUAAUUAACUCUUGUUUCCCCCCACCCGUGGUAAGGAACAGAGUAUAAAAUAAAAACAAAAAGGCACAAAAGAGUCUUUUAUGUUUUAAAUACAAGCACCAUUUAGGUUGCUGUAAUACCAUGGAAGAAAUGAUAUGGCAACCAGAAAAUAAGAAUAAAAUAAUUUUCUGGGGUCGAGAAAUCGGCUAAGAUAUUGUGUGGAAGUUACCCAGCCCUUGACGGAGAAAAGUAGAAGGAGGGACGACCUCACGGCAGCAACUACAAAUAAGUCUGCAACAACAACGACGGCCGCAGCGACGAUACAGAAACAGGCGGCAUCAGGAAAUCAUCCUAC